RNAcentral lists this ribosomal RNA (243 nucleotides) under uncultured Ochrobactrum sp. RNAcentral's name for it is "partial 16S ribosomal RNA". It matches the Rfam family "Bacterial small subunit ribosomal RNA", at positions 93 to 354 of the family's 1533-position model. Lineage: Bacteria; Pseudomonadati; Pseudomonadota; Alphaproteobacteria; Hyphomicrobiales; Brucellaceae. The record is from RNAcentral.
AGGCGGCAGACGGGUGAGUAACGCGUGGGAACGUACCUUUUGCUACGGAAUAACUCAGGGAAACUUGUGCUAAUACCGUAUGUGCCUCGGGGAAAGAUUUAUCGGCAAAGGAUCGGCCCGCGUUGGAUUAGCUAGUUGGUGAGGUAAAGGCUCACCAAGGCGACGAUCCAUAGCUGGUCUGAGAGGAUGAUCAGCCACACUGGGACUGAGACACGGCCCAGACUCCUACGGGAGGCAGCAGGC